Molecule: long non-coding RNA, 794 nt
Organism: Marmota monax (woodchuck)
Lineage: Eukaryota; Metazoa; Chordata; Mammalia; Rodentia; Sciuridae
Exons: 3
Source: RefSeq, a predicted model, not a curated record
GGCUUUUCUAGGGUACAUUUUUCAGCCACAGUAAAUAUGUUCUGUUUGUGGAAUGAGCAUUAUUAAUUCAAAACGUUGGCUUGUCCUUUUAUUAAUUCAGCAGAUAAUUAUUGGGUGGCUAUUACAUGCCAGUGACUGUGAUCAGCACUGGGCGGAGAGGUGAACAGGAUGAGAUCCCUGUCCUUGAGGGACUCCUGCUCUAGCGUGAGAAAAGAGGCUCCUCAACAAAUUAAACCCUGGGGCAAGAAAGAACAGCACUGGUAUGUGCGCCCCAAGAACACGGAAGAGGAAGGGACUCUCUUUGCCACAGAAGUCAGAAAAGGCUACAGAGAAGAAAGAACAUCAGGAAGUUCACUCUGGCAGCUUGAUGGCAGAUUUCAUGGAACAAUGGCAAAGGGACUGGUGAAGUUCAGAAGCCAAACCAUUCUUUCCAAAGAAGGUAGUUAGCAGGUACAUACUGAAGAUUUAUGGAUAUCUGGGACACGUUUUCAAAUAAUCCAAUGGAGCAACAAAGAAAAUAUGCUGGUAACUGGAGAUGCUGAAAGACGGCAACAUGAGAGUUCAUCAUACUGUUUUAAAAAUUUUCCACAAUAAAAUUAAAAUACAUUUUGUUAAAUAUAAGAAUUAACAGAAUGGCUCAGUGGAAUUUUAGAAAGUCCUAAUAACAUAAUACAACUGCUCUGAAAUCUGAUAUUUUUUUUAACUCAUAACUACUUUAUUGCAGUAUAAUUUGCAUCUAUAUAAUGUAUCCACUAUCUGUGUACAGUUCAUAGACUAAAUUUUUAGUAGAUUUA